GAGACCCACGCCCACAGUUGCCAGCGUAUUCUCUGGAAUGACGGGUACACUGUGGGGACCGCCGCUGCUAAAGCGGAGGAAGGAAUGGGCAACGGUAGGUCAGUAUGCCCCGAAUGUCCCGGGCUACACGCGGGCUACAAUGGUUGGUACAAUGGGUAUCUACCCCGAAAGGGGAUGGAAAUCUCCUAAAGCCAAUCUUAGUUCGGAUCGAGGGCUNCAACUCGCCCUCGUGAAGCUGGAAUCCGUAGUAAUCGCGUUUCAAUAUAGCGCGGUGAAUAC
RNAcentral lists this ribosomal RNA (279 nucleotides) under uncultured bacterium. RNAcentral's name for it is "partial 16S rRNA". It matches the Rfam family "Archaeal small subunit ribosomal RNA", at positions 1047 to 1325 of the family's 1478-position model. The record is from RNAcentral.